GAACGCUGGCGGCGUGCUUAACACAUGCAAGUCGAACGAGAGGACAUGAAAAGCUUGCUUUUUAUGGAAUCGAGUGGCAAACGGGUGAGUAACGCGUAAGCAACCUGCCCUGCAGAUGGGGACAACAGCUGGAAACGGCUGCUAAUACCGAAUACGAAGCAGCUCCCGCAUGGGGACUGCUUGAAAGGAUGGCCUCUGAACAUGCUAUCGCUGCAGGAGGGGCUUGCGUCUGAUUAGCUGGUUGGAGGGGUAACGGCCCACCAAGGCGACGAUCAGUAGCCGGUCUGAGAGGAUGAACGGCCACAUUGGGACUGAGACACGGCCCAGACUCCUACGGGAGGCAGCAGUGGGGAAUCUUCCGCAAUGGACGAAAGUCUGACGGAGCAACGCCGCGUGAGUGAAGACGGCCUUCGGGUUGUAAAGCUCUGUUAUACGGGACGAACGGGCGAGAGGCUAAUACCCUCUAGUUGUGACGGUACCGUAAGAGAAAGCCACGGCUAACUACGUGCCAGCAGCCGCGGUAAUACGUAGGUGGCAAGCGUUGUCCGGAAUUAUUGGGCGUAAAGGGUGCGCAGGCGGUCUCUUAAGUCUGUCU
Molecule: ribosomal RNA, 595 nt
Filed under: uncultured Megasphaera sp.
Lineage: Bacteria; Bacillati; Bacillota; Negativicutes; Veillonellales; Veillonellaceae
Description: bacterial SSU rRNA
Rfam family: Bacterial small subunit ribosomal RNA
Source: RNAcentral